ACGGGGUGCAGCAGGCGCGAAAACUCCGCAAUACACGAAAGUAUGACGGGGGAACCCCGAGUGCACUCACGCAAGUGAGCGCUUUUGUGAAGUGUAAAUAGCUUCAUGAAUAAGAGCUGGGUAAGACCGGUGCCAGCCGCCGCGGUAACACCGGCAGCUCGAGUGGUGAUCGCUAUUAUUGGGCCUAAAGCGUCCGUAGCCGGUUUGGUAAGUCCUUGGGCAAAUCCUGUCGCUUAACGGCAGGAAUUCUGAGGAUACUGUCAGACUUGAGGCCGAGAGAGGUCGGAGGUACUUCUGGGGUAGCGGUGAAAUGCUAUAAUCCUAGAGGGACCACCGGUGGCGAAAGCGUCCGACUAGAGCGGGCCUGACGGUAAGGGACGAAAGCCAGGGGAGCGAACGGGAUUAGAUACCCCGGUAGUCCUGGCCGUAAACGCUGUGGGCUAGGUGUUGCAUGCUCUACGAGGGCGUGCAGUGCCGAAGAGAAGUUGAUAAGCCUACCGCCUGGAAGUACUAUCGCAAGAU
RNAcentral lists this ribosomal RNA (522 nucleotides) under uncultured archaeon. RNAcentral's name for it is "bacterial SSU rRNA". It matches the Rfam family "Archaeal small subunit ribosomal RNA", at positions 325 to 849 of the family's 1478-position model. The record is from RNAcentral.